CCGCAUAAUCUAUUCGUAGUAAAGUGGGGGACUUUCGAGCCUCACGCUAUCAGAUGAGCCUGCGUAAGAUUAGCUUGUUGGUGGGGUAAAAGCCCACCAAGGCGACGAUCUUUAGCUGGUCUGAGAGGAUGAUCAGCCACAUCGGGACUGAGACACGGCCCGAACUCCUACGGGAGGCAGCAGUGGGGAAUAUUGGACAAUGGGGGCAACCCUGAUCCAGCAAUACCGCGUGUGUGAAGAAGGCCUGAGGGUUGUAAAGCACUUUCAAUUGUGAAGAAAAGUUAGCGGUUAAUAACCGUAGC
Molecule: ribosomal RNA, 302 nt
Filed under: uncultured marine bacterium
Lineage: Bacteria
Description: bacterial SSU rRNA
Rfam family: Bacterial small subunit ribosomal RNA
Source: RNAcentral